UCGCCCAUUUCUUUGUCUCUUGUAGGAUUUUGCGGAGCCACUCGACAGAUGAGAAUCUCAUUUCGAGGCUCCUCAGAAGGCGAACUGCACCCCCUCCCUCAAGCCUCUUCUCCAGUCUCAUGGUUUUCAUGACCACUAGGGGAAGACGACGAAUUCCAAGCUGCAAAACCCAUCCAUGCCCAAUGUAAACAUUCAAACGACAGCCUGAGAUUAGCUCGUGGUGCAUGCUGAGCUGAGAGCCACCCCGUCCCACUCCUGCCCCAGAGGUAAGUGUGGGAUAGAUCUUUCUUAUGCCCCACCUUAGAAAAACAUAUUUGUAAAUAAUAGCUUAACUUACUGUAUGCCGGCUACCAUGCUACAGCUUUAUAUGCAUCAUCUAUUUGAAAUUGUAGACCCCUCUACACACACAGGUUUUUUUUUUUUUUUUUAAUAAGACUUUAUUAAGCAUAUAGUUCUGCGGCUUGCUUCCUUACUGAAUGUGUUUACGUCUUUCUGCCAGUGUCUGUUUCUCCACUGAAUUCUUUUUUACUGGGUACAUAGUA
RNAcentral lists this long non-coding RNA (542 nucleotides) under Sus scrofa (pig). Its description in RNAcentral is "lncRNA (ENSSSCG00070005770.1)". Lineage: Eukaryota; Metazoa; Chordata; Mammalia; Artiodactyla; Suidae. The record is from RNAcentral.